AUAAAAAACAUGGGACAAAAAGACAAAAACCAAAUAAAAAACAGAAACCCCACCCACCCCUUUCUAUUUCUCUCACGUGCAUUUCACUCUCUACUCCCAUCUUCUAGAAUUCUCUCCACUCUCACUUUCAUUUUGUUCGUAUGUAUUCCAAUUCACCAUAAUUCUUUUUCUCUUCUCUCCACUCUUGAUGAUUAAUUACUCAUAUAAGCAAAGCUAUCUCCUAGUUUACAAGUGUUCAUGGGUAAAGAUUUUGGAGUUAGGGUUAUUGCUCUAAGAAAGGAGAAGAAUACCCAUCUCUUGAAAGUUGGUCAUUUAUAUUCUUUGAGAUUCGAUGAAAAUUGCUCCGGUGGUCAUUCCGGAAGGCAUUGCUAGGAACGGAGUUGAUUCGUCAUAGUUGUGAGUUGAUGAUGAUCAUUACUACUUAUUUUAACUACUAUUAUUAAUUUUAUGUUACUUAUUUUCUAUGUUAAAGUAUUUAUAAAAAUUGGGGAACACACCCUUUUAACAUUUUUCUCGUCAUUAUUAUAUAAUUUCGAUGUCAUCAAAUUUAACUAUACUCUUUGGAUUUAUCCAUGAUUCAUUGAGCAAAUGAUUUGAAAUUGAGGGUUGGGUGCAUAUACUAUGACAUGAGUUUUGAGAUACAUAGGAAUACAGUUUUGUGAUAUUUGUUUUCGGAAAAUGUUAAUAUUCUUCUAUUGGAAUUGACUUUACUUAUGGUUGGAAUAUUUUCAAUUUCAUUUGGAUUUUUAUGUAUUUCCAAAAGUUUUAGAAAUGUGUGAAACAUGGUUUUAAGAGAUGUAUUUUAAGAAUUGCGGUUAUAAUGACGACGGCCUAGGUGCACCUAGUUAUAUAAUAUCGAGUAGAAAAGGGCUAUCCGUUAGAUGGAGCCGCCCCUAAGUGAAAGGCCACUCUUAGGAGGAAAGGGCUAUCAACGAGAUGGAGCCGUCUCUUGAUUCUAUCGUAACAAAUUCUUUUUAUUUGGUUGGAUGAGGAUGCAUUUUCGUAAUCGAGGUGAAAAGGGCUAUCCGUUAGAUGGAGCCGCCCCUAAGUGAAAGGCCGCUCUUAGGAGGAAAGGGCUAUCAACGAGAUGGAGCCGUCUCUCGAUUCUCUCGUAAUGAUUUCUUUUUAUUUGAUUGGAUUUCUAUAUUUUUCUUAUUUCAAUUUCAAACUCUAUAAUGAUUUGAAUCGAGUAUUAUUUAUAUUACAUAAUUACUACUUUACAAGAAUUGUUACAAGCUUUCUAAAAAUCAAAUGCUCGUGCCUUGUGUGUUUCCCAUCUAGUUGGUAGUGGUUGUUAUCUCUCACUAAGUCCUUGUGACUUACCCCUUCAUCUUCUAUUUUUUUUCAGAUUCAAAGUCAGCUGAGUAGGGGUUUCUAGCAGAUAUUGAGAGUCGUCGGUAUCAUUCUAUUGGUAGGCUUCCUUGAUGAAAUGUUACUUUGUAUAUGUAUAUUUUGAGUUGAUUGAAUAUCUGCAGCUAUUUUGAGUCUAGGAAUCUUUUGUGUUGAAAUGUAUAAAUUUAAACAUGUAUAUUUUGAAACUUCUGACUUAAUGAUGUAUAUGAUGCAAACAGGAUUUAUUUUGAUUUGGAAAUAUUAUAUUUAUUGUUGUUAAAUUUGGUCAUUAGGCUUGCCGGACUAGUAUUAGUUCGUGCGCCGGUCACGAUUGAAAUUGGGUCGUGACAGCCAUGGUGAGAGAGGCGGUGGCGGAGGAAUUGAAUUGAGUUUUUUGAGUGGUGGUGUUGUUGGAUAACUUUGUCACCUGUGUUGUCAGAGCUGUGAUGGCCGCGGUUAAAGCCGUCAUGGCACCGUAAAACUCUGCUUUCGUCACCGGGUGAUCUCCCAUCUGAUCACGUUAGAAAAAGAACAGGAGAAACCUGCUCUGAUACCAACUGACGCAGUACGGAAGCGUGAAGGAAAAGCAAGCGCUAAUCCUUUUAGAUAAAGGUUCUGGAAUCCACCAGAUUUCCGGAAUCAACCAGAAAGAGCAAUUUGGAAUCCACCAAAUUUGAGAAAAAUCUCUGAAUUUUAUUCAAUCAAAAGGUUUCUUCAAGGCUACAAUAAUUUAGUUUAAAUAGGAGUGAAAAAUAAAAUUAACAAAUCUCCUAAAAGAUUGUAAAAAUAAAAACAACAAAUCUAGCUAAAUAAAAAUUACAAAUCUACCUAAAAUAUAAAAAAAUAACUAACCUAGGUGAAAUAUCAAAAUAAGAAAUCAACCUAAAAUAUAAUAAAACUAAAUCUAACUAAAAUAAUAAUAUACAGAAGAAAUCCUCCUACAUCAACACCUUUUCAGUUUCUCCAAAUGAAAGAUUUUUAUAAGUUUGGCGUGUGUAUUGCAAAAAGUGAUUAUUUAUAGUUCCAGUCACCAUGGCAUUGUUCCUCUUUGUAUAUGCUCCUUAUUAGAUUCUUAAUAGUUUUAAAUGAAUUUUCACUUUGAAUUUGAAAAAUUUGACAAGGUUGCUGCAUGUUAAGUUGAGACAGCUUUAUGCAAGAUUUGCUUCAAAUUUUGGAACUGAUUCUUAGAAGAGUGAUUCUGGCAAGAGGAACCCCAACAACCAAAUGCUUGGAAGGCCUGUGAGUUGCAAUGGAGGCUUGCAAUGGCUUUGCAGUAACUUAUGUUCCAUUAGAUGACACUCUUGGUCCUUAUGCUGUGGAGUUUAUCAUAAACCAUGCUGAAGUUUCAAUUGCAUUUCUACAAGAAAAUAAGAUCCCAUCAGUAUGUGCUAGUUCUUUCUUUGAGCUUAAUGUUUUGUUUUCACUAUUGAAAUAUGAAUUGUCUUCCACAUUUAAUUGUUCUACUGUUUAAAUCUUCUGAGAUAGAAAUAAGCAUCUAUCUUUUUAUUUCUUCCUAAACUAACAUUUAUUUUCAUCGAUUUUGUCAUGUCUUGAUCACUGUUCUUUAAAUCUCAAAAGUAGGUCAAGCAUUAUUGUCUUAUUUACUCACAGUCCAGAUUUUGUCAUGUCUUGCUUUACCUGAAUCAUCUUUGAACUUUUCUCGCUAUGACGGUAUCAGGUCAGUGGUUGACUCCCCAUGUAACCCCCCUCUCUCUCUCCCUCCAUAUACACACACAACUGAACAUAGUGUUUUGUUGUGUUCUUAUUUUCAUUGAUAAAUAAUUUUGUUUGGCUUGGAUCCAUUUUCUCUAUUCUAGAUAUGGAAACAAGUUUACGCUGAUUAGUUGGACUCUCUCUUUGGAGAUUCCUAAGCCAGAGGGUUAAGCUCUAAGGUGACAACGAGAGGUUUGGGAUCUAUAAGAAGACGUUUUAUGUGAGUUAAUGUGUUACAAGCAAUAACCGCUACAAGUAAUAGCUUUAAGGAGGCACUAAAUCAAAAUAAUAUCUUCAUUUCCCUUGAGCUGCUAAUAAAAUUGGUAGAAAGAAAACUGAUCUUUUGGCUAAAUAUGUUGGUGACUUCAUGACUAUAAGUAUUUUUCAUUUUUCUUAUUGGCUAGAUUUUUAUCUCAUACUUCUGAUUUUAUGUGAACUGGAUAAGUUAGGUUGAGGUUUCCAUUACUGGUAUUCAACUUCACCAACAAAUAUGAGGUGCUCGUCAUAUUGUCACAAAGCUAGUAGUCAUGGAGUUGCAUAUGGGAAAUGAAGCAGGUCAUGGAGAUGCAUAUUUUUAAUUUUAGUGUUUACCAAAGAAGAAUAGAUACUUAGAUAUCAUAAUUUUGCUUUGUUUGUUAUUAAGUUUGAACCAUUAGCAAACUUAGUAUUUUGAUACUUAAAGUAGUCAUGCAUAUAGAUUGUUAUGCUGAAUUUUUGCACUAUGUAUGUAAAGCUACUGGAGCUCAUUUGUAUUCGAAUUUAAUGUAUGAAAUUCCAUUUAAAUUUGAAUCGUUAUUUUAUUUUGAA
Trifolium pratense (red clover) is the source of this 3852-nucleotide long non-coding RNA. RefSeq lists it as uncharacterized. The transcript has 6 exons. NCBI's taxonomy places the organism in Eukaryota, Viridiplantae, Streptophyta, Magnoliopsida, Fabales, Fabaceae. The record is from RefSeq and is a predicted model, not a curated record.